This 218-nucleotide ribosomal RNA is filed under the name uncultured bacterium. RNAcentral describes it as "partial 16S ribosomal RNA". It matches the Rfam family "Bacterial small subunit ribosomal RNA", at positions 18 to 232 of the family's 1533-position model. The record is from RNAcentral.
CCUGGCUCAGAUUGAACGCUGGCGGCAUGCCUAACACAUGCAAGUCGAACGGCAACACGGUCUAGCUUGCUAGACUGGUGGCGAGUGGCGAACGGGUGAGUAACGCGUAGGAAUAUACCUUAAAGAGUGGGACAACUUGGGGAAACUCAAGCUAAUACCGCAUACUAUCUGAGGAUAAAAGCUGGGGACCUUCGGGCCUGGCGCUUUAAGAUUAGCCU